RNAcentral lists this ribosomal RNA (488 nucleotides) under Cryptosporidium scrofarum. RNAcentral's name for it is "SSU rRNA". It matches the Rfam family "Eukaryotic small subunit ribosomal RNA", at positions 562 to 1091 of the family's 1831-position model. Lineage: Eukaryota; Apicomplexa; Conoidasida; Eucoccidiorida; Cryptosporidiidae. The record is from RNAcentral.
UGGUGCCAGCAGCCGCGGUAAUUCCAGCUCCAAUAGCGUAUAUUAAAGUUGUUGCAGUUAAAAAGCUCGUAGUUGAUUUUCUGUUAAUUUUUAUGUAUAAUAUUGCGAUAUUUACAUAAUAUUAACAUAAUUCACACUACUUUACGGUAUGUGGAAUUUUACUUUGAGAAAAUUAGAGUGCUUAAAGCAGGCUAUUGCCUUGAAUACUCCAGCAUGGAAUAAUAUUAAGGAUUUUUAUUCUUCUUAUUGGUUCUAGAAUAAAAAUAAUGAUUAAUAGGAACAGUUGGGGGCAUUUGUAUUUAACAGUUAGAGGUGAAAUUCUUAGAUUUGUUAAAGACAAACUACUGCGAAAGCAUUUGCCAAGGAUGUUUUCAUUAAUCAAGAACGAAAGUUAGGGGAUCGAAGACGAUCAGAUACCGUCGUAGUCUUAACCAUAAACUAUGCCAACUAGAGAUUGGAGGUUGUUCCUUACUCCUUCACCACCUUAA